Molecule: long non-coding RNA, 262 nt
Filed under: Physcomitrium patens
Lineage: Eukaryota; Viridiplantae; Streptophyta; Bryopsida; Funariales; Funariaceae
Description: long non-coding RNA (PPAT_LNC002201)
Source: RNAcentral
CAUAUGUCUAUCUAGGAAAGAUGAAGAAGAAAAAAAAAGAAACAGAAGAAAAAGAAACAAUAUGGGAGAAGAGAGCAAGAAAAGCAAUAGAGAAGCAUUGAUGUUGUAUAGGGUGAGUAUACAAAAGUGUUCAAGCACAAAGCACAGCAACAGUGUUGAAGCCAAGCCUUGUCAAUGGAGGCGCAACAAACUGAAAAGCUUCCAAAGGCUACUGAGAGAACUGAACUGUGUGUGUGUGCACAUAACUACUCCAUACUCAACA